GACGAACGCUGGCGGCGUGCUUAACACAUGCAAGUCGAACGGAAAGGCCCUGCUUUUGUGGGGUGCUCGAGUGGCGAACGGGUGAGUAACACGUGAGUAACCUGCCCUUGACUUUGGGAUAACUUCAGGAAACUGGGGCUAAUACCGGAUCGGAGCUCCUGCUGCAUGGUGGGGGUUGGAAAGUUUCGGCGGUUGGGGAUGGACUCGCGGCUUAUCAGCUUGUUGGUGGGGUAGUGGCUUACCAAGGCUUUGACGGGUAGCCGGCCUGAGAGGGUGACCGGCGACAUUGGGACUGAGAUACGGCCCAGACGCCUACGGGAGGCAGCAGUGGGGAAUAUUGCACAAUGGGCGGAAGCCUGAUGCAGCAACGCCGCGUGCGGGAUGACGGCCUUCGGGUUGUAAACCGCUUUCGCCUGUGACGAAGCGUGAGUGACGGUAAUGGGUAAAGAAGCACCGGCUAACUACGUG
RNAcentral lists this ribosomal RNA (468 nucleotides) under uncultured bacterium. RNAcentral describes it as "partial 16S ribosomal RNA". It matches the Rfam family "Bacterial small subunit ribosomal RNA", at positions 28 to 507 of the family's 1533-position model. The record is from RNAcentral.